GACGAACGCUGGCGGCGUGCUUAACACAUGCAAGUCGAACGAAGAGCGAUGGAAGCUUGCUUCUAUCAAUCUUAGUGGCGAACGGGUGAGUAACGCGUAAUCAACCUGCCCUUCAGAGGGGGACAACAGUUGGAAACGACUGCUAAUACCGCAUACGAUCUAACCUCGGCAUCGAGGAUAGAUGAAAGGUGGCCUCUACAUGUAAGCUAUCACUGAAGGAGGGGAUUGCGUCUGAUUAGCUAGUUGGAGGGGUAACGGCCCACCAAGGCGAUGAUCAGUAGCCGGUCUGAGAGGAUGAACGGCCACAUUGGGACUGAGACACGGCCCAGACUCCUACGGGAGGCAGCAGUGGGGAAUCUUCCGCAAUGGACGAAAGUCUGACGGAGCAACGCCGCGUGAGUGAUGACGGCCUUCGGGUUGUAAAGCUCUGUUAAUCGGGACGAAAGGC
Molecule: ribosomal RNA, 448 nt
Filed under: Veillonella parvula
Lineage: Bacteria; Bacillati; Bacillota; Negativicutes; Veillonellales; Veillonellaceae
Description: bacterial SSU rRNA
Rfam family: Bacterial small subunit ribosomal RNA
Source: RNAcentral